GGAAAAUAUUUUCUAUAAUUAAACCAUCUUGUUGUUUCAGAUUGUUGUUUAUUAUUCCUAUAAAUUUAAAGCUAUAUUGAAAUAUUUUUGAUGAUAAAUUUUUAAAAUAUUUUCUAGUGGACUGUCAAAGAGAAGAUGAAAAUAAGGUGACAAGAGGUAAAGUUGAACAACUACAAUUAAUGUUAGAAGAACGUCGCCAGCGUCGAAAGGCUAGAAGAGAGAUAAAAUGUGCUCCCUACUAUUCUAAUAGAGUCUCAGGACAUUCUGAGCAAUAUAGUUCAACAACAAACUAUGAAACUUCCAGGAAAAGCAUCUCUAAUACAAGGCUACAACCUAUGGAUGUCAACAGCUCUGUUGAAAGCAGCAGUGAAUUAGCAAAACUCAGUUCAGAAGCAGCAGUGGCCUGAGAUAGCCAAAAAUAAAAUCAACCAGUAUUCCAGUAUGCUGUCAUGUGCAAGCUAUAAAAUCACUGGCAUGUAUUGCCAAAUUUUAUCAUAUUGAAAAUGAGGCAAUUUGCUACUUGGACAUCAAUUUAAAGUUGUCCCAACCAUUAGAAAUUUUUGGUUUUCUUUGGUUAUCGGUAGUUGGAUUGUUAAAGAAAUGAAUUCAUGUAUUUGCUGUAAUGGAAAACACAGCUAUGGUUUGUUCUAUAUUCCAUUGAAAUGGUGUGUAUCAGGUAUUCACCAAAAGAAGUAGAGAUUACUUGCCAUCACUAUCGGUACCAAAGCUAAUUCUAAUGCUCCAGAAUCUAGAUGCAGUACCUAAUACACUUAUUUAAUGUUAUCAUGGACAGUUACCACAUUUAUGGGUAGGGAAAUAAAAAUUUGGCUUGCCAUCAGAGUAGAUGGUUCUUAAUAUCAUCUCAGGUUAUUUAAAUUCUCUAUAAUGGCAGUAUCAUGCCAAUCAUUCUGGGCGCAUCGAUUUUUUGAACUUUAUUCAAUAUAGCACAAAAGCAUCAAAAUUUCUUUUACUACACAGACUGUAUGGAGUUCAAUUUUUCAGUAUAUUGUCAGAAAUGUAUUAUUAUACUACAGUAUAUGGAUACUGUUAAACCAUUGUGUGCAUGUGUGUAAAUAAGUGUAUUUUACAGUCACAUCAUACAGGAAAAUUCAAAGUUAAAUACACAAUAAAAUAACUAAUACAGUAAAAGUUACCAGUAUUUGAUACAAAUUCAUUAGUUUUAAGGCAGCUGUGUGAACCAAAUAGUAUCUUGCUUUUACCAAAAAUAUACCAAAGACCAGAUCAGUAUGCUUGCUUGUAUUAAUUGCCUGGCAUUUAUGUAUGUUGCAUACAAUUCAAUAGUUUUAACCACAACAGUAUAUAGAAAUUAGCAAUUAAGUCCUUAUGAAUUUGAUUCCUUAAGGCAGUUUCUCAUAUUUUCAAAGUCCUAUUUGAAAAUUUUCAAAUAUAUGUGAUGCCCCAUAGUUUAUUAGAUUGUCC
This 1440-nucleotide long non-coding RNA is filed under the name Androctonus crassicauda. Lineage: Eukaryota; Metazoa; Arthropoda; Arachnida; Scorpiones; Buthidae. The record is from RNAcentral.